Molecule: ribosomal RNA, 460 nt
Filed under: uncultured bacterium
Lineage: Bacteria
Description: partial 16S ribosomal RNA
Rfam family: Bacterial small subunit ribosomal RNA
Source: RNAcentral
CCUACGGGAGGCAGCAGUGAGGAAUAUUGGUCAAUGGUCGGAAUACUGAACCAGCCAAGCCGCGUGAAGGAUGAAGGUUCUACGAGUUGUAAACUUCUUUUGUCAGGGAAUAAAGUCCUUGACGUGUCGCCUUUUGAAUGUACCUUACGAAUAAGCAUCGGCUAACUCCGUGCCAGCAGCCGCGGUAAUACGGAGGAUGCGAGCGUUAUCCGGAUUUAUUGGGUUUAAAGGGUGCGUGGGUGGUUUUUUAAGUCAGCGGUGAAAUCCCGUGGCUCAACCACGGGCCUGCCGUUGAAACUGGAAGACUAGAGUGGGUAUGCGGUAGGCGGAAUGUGUGGUGUAGCGGUGAAAUGCAUAGAUAUAGCGCAGAACUCCGAUUGCGAAGGCAGCUUGCCAGGCCGGAACUGACACUGAGGCACGAAAGCGUGGGGAUCGAACAGGAUUAGAUACCCCAGUAGUC